RNAcentral lists this non-coding RNA (28 nucleotides) under Rattus norvegicus (Norway rat). The record is from RNAcentral. Lineage: Eukaryota; Metazoa; Chordata; Mammalia; Rodentia; Muridae.
UCAGAACUGGAAACUGGUUCUUGUGCUA